UGGCGGACGGGGGAGUAAUGUCUGGGAAACUGCCUGAUGGAGGGGGGUAACUACUGGAAACGGUAGCUAAUACCGCAUAACGUCGCAAGACCAAAGAGGGGGACCUUAGGGCCUCUUGCCAUCGGAUGUGCCCAGAUGGGAUUAGCUAGUAGGUGGGGUAAAGGCUCACCUAGGCGACGAUCCCUAGCUGGUCUGAGAGGAUGACCAGCCACACUGGAACUGAGACACGGUCCAG
This 235-nucleotide ribosomal RNA is filed under the name uncultured bacterium. Its description in RNAcentral is "partial 16S ribosomal RNA". It matches the Rfam family "Bacterial small subunit ribosomal RNA", at positions 96 to 334 of the family's 1533-position model. The record is from RNAcentral.